Molecule: transfer RNA, 76 nt
Filed under: Docosaccus maculatus
Lineage: Eukaryota; Metazoa; Porifera; Hexactinellida; Lyssacinosida; Euplectellidae
Description: tRNA-Val
Source: RNAcentral
CCAAAAAUAAUUUAAAUAAAAUCUUGUUUUCACAAAACAAUACAUAAGGAUAAUUCCUUUUUUUGAAACCACACAC